Misgurnus anguillicaudatus (oriental weatherfish) is the source of this 1234-nucleotide non-coding RNA. NCBI's taxonomy places the organism in Eukaryota, Metazoa, Chordata, Actinopteri, Cypriniformes, Cobitidae. The record is from RefSeq and is a predicted model, not a curated record.
GUGUGUGUAGCAGGAUUAGGUGAGCUGUGAUUGACAGCUACUGUCACCUAUCAGGAAGGGGCAGUCCCUUUUUAAGCACUGAUUGGCUGCUGCUCGGAAUGCGUCAUGUCCUGUGUUUCCCCCGGGUGUUUGUAGCAAUAGCGACAGCGUGUUUGUCCAGCGUACUGGUGCCCUUGUGCUGUUGGUGGCUUAAAUGACUGUGCACCCUCAGUUGGCUGUGGUUGACCUGUUGUAGGUUAAACAGUGCUGUAAAAGACGUUAAUGUGUCUGGGGUGAUGCCACUGUGCGGGUUCUCCCUUUUGUUCUACGUGGUUUCCUCUGGUUGCUGCCUGUUUGAGUCUCGUGCUGUUUUAUCGCACCGCUGUAACAUUACAUUAUUGUCACCGCUGUAAACCGGACUGUCCACUGUCUGGUUCCUGAACUUGAGUGUGUAUUAUCUUGAAGUGGAGGAUUAGCGCAUUGGAGCCGGCGUAUGGACUUUGGUGUUUGCGCAUUGACUUUCGUGUAGCUUCAGCUGCCAGUUUUCUUUGUUUGUUUGUUUUUGUUUCUAUUGUAAAAUUUGUAUAUUAUUGUUUUGAAUAUGUAUUUUGCUUAAUAUCCUUUCAGGAGCUGGGGUCCCCACGGGUGAGGGAUCUUGUGGUGGUGGUGGUACCGCUCAACGGUUCCCGUGUUACACAUUUGAAGUGUAUAAGUGUGUGUACAUUGAGUUCACGGUGUGGUGUGCGAAAGUGUGCUUUUGGACAACUUGUGCCAGUGAUCCCUCGAGUGGGUAACCUCAGCUCUGUAGGUUUGUGUAUUGUUUAAUUAGUUUAUUAUUUGUCUUUCUUUCCACGCACUGCAUUGUAGCAGUGUGGACCAUUAAACCUUAAAUUGUUUUGUAUUUUUGUGUAACUUUGUGAUUAUGAUGUUUUAUGUCAUUUGUUUUAUGUAUUUUGCUGCAGUGAGACAGAUUUGUUUUGAAUAAUGUUGUCUUCUGUCUAUUUUACACCUAGCUCAUUGACAUGAACAAAGAAUAUUGUGUAAUAAAAAUUUAUAUUUUUUGUACUAUACCCACGUUUUCUGCUCCCUUCACUUUUAAGAGGAACGAACCUGUGUGCCUUACCGCCUUUCUGGGUGUAAGGAAUAUUUCCCUGUGUGUAAGUCCCAGGGUGGCGUAGUCGGAAUUUUAUGUAAAAUCUUUGCUUUCGUCUUAAAGCUAAACUUUCACCCCCUCGUCAUGCCACAUGUGCAAGAA